UCGGCCGCCGGCCCAGCCCGGUCCGGCCAGGCCUGCCCCGGAAUAUCUCAGCAGACUGCACUUUCAUGGAGAAAAUGACAGACACUUGGUUACACAGUGGAACGAAUGGAAACAUUCUCUGAAAUAAAGUAAAGGUGACUCAGAAAUAUCUGAAAUAA
Molecule: long non-coding RNA, 158 nt
Organism: Pogoniulus pusillus (Red-fronted tinkerbird)
Lineage: Eukaryota; Metazoa; Chordata; Aves; Piciformes; Lybiidae
Exons: 2
Source: RefSeq, a predicted model, not a curated record